GCCGGGCAUGGUGGCGCACGCCUGUCAUCCCAGCGACUCUGGAGGCUGAGGCGAGAGGAUUCCAAGUUCAAGGCCAGCCUCAGCAACUUAGCAAGGCCCUAAGCAACUUAGUGAGACCCUGUCUCAA
Molecule: small RNA, 127 nt
Filed under: Marmota monax (woodchuck)
Lineage: Eukaryota; Metazoa; Chordata; Mammalia; Rodentia; Sciuridae
Source: RNAcentral